GAGAAUUUAGAAGUCCGGCGCUUUAAGAAAGAAAAGAAUUUUGAAUGGAAUGGUUUUGAGCAUAAAUUUCUUGGUAAAAAACCUUCGCCCAAUUUUGAAUUGUCAAGACAAGAGCUUUAUGUAAGAGCAGAAGCCCCAAAAGGUGAAUUAGGGAUUUAUCUAGUAGGAGAUGAUAGCCUUUUCUCCUGGAGAUUUAAAAUCCGUCCACCUGGGUUUAUUAAUUUGCAAAUUCUUCCUCGGCUAGUUAAAAAAAUGAAAUUGGCUGAUAUCAUGACGAUAUUAGGUAGUAUAGACAUCAUUAUGGGGGAAGUUGAUCAUUGA
This 321-nucleotide ribosomal RNA is filed under the name Triticum aestivum (bread wheat). Its description in RNAcentral is "partial small subunit ribosomal RNA". Lineage: Eukaryota; Viridiplantae; Streptophyta; Magnoliopsida; Poales; Poaceae. The record is from RNAcentral.